This 497-nucleotide ribosomal RNA is filed under the name uncultured bacterium. Its description in RNAcentral is "partial 16S ribosomal RNA". It matches the Rfam family "Bacterial small subunit ribosomal RNA", at positions 28 to 507 of the family's 1533-position model. The record is from RNAcentral.
GAUGAACGCUGGCGGCGUGCCUAAUACAUGCAAGUCGAGCGAACAGAUGAGGAGCUUGCUCCUCUGACGUUAGCGGCGGACGGGUGAGUAACACGUGGAUAACCUACCUAUAAGACUGGGAUAACUUCGGGAAACCGGAGCUAAUACCGGAUAAUAUAUUGAACCGCAUGGUUCAAUAGUGAAAGACGGUUUUGCUGUCACUUAUAGAUGGAUCCGCGCCGCAUUAGCUAGUUGGUAAGGUAACGGCUUACCAAGGCAACGAUGCGUAGCCGACCUGAGAGGGUGAGCGGCCACACUGGAACUGAGACACGGUCCAGACUCCUACGGGAGGCAGCAGUGGGGAAUCUUCCGCAAAGGGCGAAAGCCUGACGGAGCAACGCCGCGUGAGUGAUGAAGGUCUUCGGAUCGUAAAACUCUGUUAUUAGGGAAGAACAAAUGUGUAAGUAACUAUGCACGUCUUGACGGUACCUAAUCAGAAAGCCACGGCUAACUACGUG